Molecule: unclassified non-coding RNA, 178 nt
Filed under: Sugarcane yellows phytoplasma type I
Lineage: Bacteria; Bacillati; Mycoplasmatota; Mollicutes; Acholeplasmatales; Acholeplasmataceae
Description: partial contains 16S ribosomal RNA and 16S-23S ribosomal RNA intergenic spacer
Source: RNAcentral
UCUGUCGUAACAAGUAUCCCUACCGGAAGGUGGGGAUGGAUCACCUCCUUUCUAAGGAUAAUAAAAAUCAUCAUCUUCAGUUUUGAAAGACUUAGAUUGAAAAAGUAAGUUUUUCUUUUUUUAAGCGCCAAAGGGCCUAUAGCUCAGUUGGUUAGAGCACACUCGCAGACAAGAGAGC